Oncorhynchus tshawytscha (Chinook salmon) is the source of this 2322-nucleotide long non-coding RNA. Lineage: Eukaryota; Metazoa; Chordata; Actinopteri; Salmoniformes; Salmonidae. The record is from Ensembl.
UGGACAAGCAUGCUCAGAUGGUAAUUAUUAUAUAUUUUAUAAAAUGGUCAGAUAUAUCUAUUUUUAAUACAGACUAUACUUUAAAAAAAAAAUGUAUUGACAAAUGACCUAAUUAUAAUUAUUAUUAUAAUUUUCUGGUACCAAAAAAAAGAGAUGCAAAAACACAAGUUUGCCACCUCCUUAUUUUAAUAGUGAGGGUGCACCUGCUCUGUUUUCUCCAUGGCUCAUCUGUGGUGCUGACAUCUCUCAGGACUUCUUCUUCUUCUUCUUCUUCUUUGGUAGCAUGUGUUGAUCUGCUGUCGAUCCAAGUUAAAUAAUCUAUUCUUUCUUUCUACAUAUGAAGUGUGGAGGAGGAUCAUCCUGAGACGGUUAAAGACCAUCCAAGUCCAUCCAAGACCAUCCAUCCAAGACCAUCCAAGGCCAUCCAAGACCAUCCAAGACCAUCCAAGACCAUCGAAGGCCAUCCAAGACCAUCCAAGACCAUCCAAGACCAUCCAAAACCAUCCAAGACCAUCCAAGACCAUCCAUGACCAUCCAAGACCAUUGAAGGACAUCCAAGACCAUCCAAGACCAUCCGACCCUCCAAGACCAUCCAAGACCAUCCAAGGACAUCCAAGACCAUCCAAGACCAUCCAAGACCAUCCAAUGACAUCCAAGACCAUCCAAGACCAUCCAAGACCAUCCAAGACCAUCCAAGUCCAUCCAAGGACAUUCAAUUGUUUCUCUGUAAAGUAAGCUACGAGACUGUAAAGUAAGCUAAGCUAUGAGACCAAGAGACAGAAAAAGAGUUACAGCAGCUCAAUAGUCACGAUAGGGACAUUUCCUGAACCUCCUGUUGGAAUUUGACCUGUGCCUAAACUUAUAACUUGUUACUGACAAAUGCAUUUUAACCAGCAAAUGUUUUGUAUGUUUUAUAUUCGUUGUACAGUGAAGAAGAAAAAAGGUAACUCUUUUUUUUGGUAAUAAUUCAAUGUUUAAUUAAUAUUUUUAUUAUAUUCUCCUAUGUCAGUAUUCGACCUCUUAGGGUGGUACAAGCUUAGCUGUACACUCAUGUGUGCACUUGGCCAAGUCAGAUUUUUUUUGUGCUUUUUGUUUAGGCUAUAAAUGGAAUAAUACUUAAUUGUUCAGAGUUUUUAUUCAUAAUAUUGAUUACUUUUUAAUAGCUUUUUAUUGUUUAUAUUUUCUACAAUUACUAAUAAGUAAAUAUCUGAAUUACAGAGCUUUAAUUUUAAACUAAGUAUGUGUUUCUUCAGAAGACAGUGUAAAUAUUUAUCUUUAAUUCCCUGAGCAAUCCGUGAUUUCUGUAUAUUGGGGAGAUUUCCAGCUUCCUUAGUCCGAUUGCCCACUCUCUCUUUGGGCCUUUGGGUUACCAGGUGCUGGUGGUACUUUUCAGCCUGGUACCCACCUUCCUUAGUCCGAUUGCCCACUCUCUCUUUGGGCUACCGGACUCUGGGUUGCCCACUCUCUCUUGGGCCUUUGGGUUACCAGAUGCCGGUGGUACUUUUCAGCCUGGUACCCACCUUCCUUAGUCCGAUUGCCCACUCUAUUUUUGGGCUCUCAGACUCUGGGUUGCCCACUCUCUCUUGGGCCUUUGGGUUACCAGGUACCGGUGGUACUUUUCAGCCUGGUACCCACCUUCCUUAGUCCGAUUGCCCACUCUCUCUUUGGGCUUCCGGACUCUGGACUCUGGACUCUGUAUAUGGGGAGAGUUCCAGAACGGGGGAUGUCUUUGUAAAAACCUUCCAGUUAUUUACAGUUAUGUUGUAUGUCAUCUUCAGUAAAUGUUAACCAUUAUAUUAAUAGUAAUGUGUACAGAAGUUCUGCUCAUAUAAUGAAAUAAAUGUUGUUUUUUUUAGAUAUCAGAAGUAUUUCUUAUUUCUCCCUUUAAAAAGUAUCAGACAAGACAUAUAGUAUGUAUUAUUCAAGGUGUUAAUGAUGAUGAUGAAGAUGAGGAUGAUGAACACCUGCGCAAUUUGCUGAAUUUUUUAAUUUUUUUAUUAUUCAUUUUUUUAUGAACAAAUAUCAACAAAAAUGCAAAAACAAGCAUACAUACAAACUAUUAACAUUGCCAGGAAUCCCAAACAAACAAAUCAUAUUCAUUAUUAAUACAACAAGUUUGAAUUGGCUAUUUGUUUUUCAUUUUAGUUAAAGUAGUGCCAUAUUGUUUAAAUUAUUUUAUAAAAUGGGAGGGAAAAAAGUUCGGUUUUGAUUUAGACCAUUUGCAUUUGUGAAUAUGAAAAGUAUCUAAUAUAAUUAGCAGUUGAAUUAAAUAUACUACAUCUUUAUCAAUGUCAGAAUUUCUGAAAUAAAUGAUUAUAUCAA